RNAcentral lists this transfer RNA (50 nucleotides) under Hymenoloma crispulum. RNAcentral describes it as "partial tRNA-Leu". The record is from RNAcentral. Lineage: Eukaryota; Viridiplantae; Streptophyta; Bryopsida; Dicranales; Rhabdoweisiaceae.
AAAAUCCGUUGGCUUUANUGACCGUGAGGGUUCAAGUCCCUCUANCCCCA